AUUCUUAGUGGCGGACGGGUUAGUAACACGUGAGAAUCCUACCCUUGAGUGGGGAAUAGCCUUUCGAAAGGAAGAUUAAUGCCCCAUAGUCUCUACGGAGUAAAGAUGCCUUCGGGUGUCGCUUAAGGAUGGGCUCGCGGCCUAUCAGCUAGUUGGUGAGGUAAGAGCUCACCAAGGCAACGACGGGUAGCUGGUCUGAGAGGACGAUCAGCAACACUGGAACUGAGACACGGUCCAGACACCUACGGGUGGCAGCAGUCGAGAAUCAUUCACAAUGGACGAAAGUCUGAUGGUGCAACGCCGCGUGGAGGAUGACGGCCCUAGGGUUGUAAACUCCUGUCAUCAGGGAGUAAGACUUAUUCGUUAAUAGCGUGUAAGUUUGAUAGUACCUGAAGAGGAAGGGACGGCUAACUUCGUGCCAGCAGCCGCGGUAAUACGAAGGUCCCAAGCGUUGUUCGGAAUAACUGGGCGUAAAGCGUGUGUAGGCCGCGCGGAAAGUCGGAUGUGAAAGCCCAAGGCUCAACCUUGGAACUGCAUCCGAUACUCCCGUGCUA
RNAcentral lists this ribosomal RNA (554 nucleotides) under uncultured Roseibacillus sp. Its description in RNAcentral is "bacterial SSU rRNA". It matches the Rfam family "Bacterial small subunit ribosomal RNA", at positions 88 to 643 of the family's 1533-position model. The record is from RNAcentral. Lineage: Bacteria; Pseudomonadati; Verrucomicrobiota; Verrucomicrobiia; Verrucomicrobiales; Verrucomicrobiaceae.